CCCUUAGAUGUUCUGGGCCGCACGCGCGCUACACUGAUGCAUUCAACGAGCCUAGCCUUGACCGAGAGGUCCGGGUAAUCUUUGAAACUGCAUCGUGAUGGGGCUAGAUUAUUGCAAUUAUUAAUCUUCAACGAGGAAUGCCUAGUAAGCGUGAUUCAUCAAAUCGCGUUGAUUACGUCCCUGCCCUUUGUACACACCGCCCGUCGCUCCUACCGAUUGAAUGGUUCAGUGAGAUAAUCGGACAGAAAACUUGGCAACCGGCAACAGUUGACGUGCAUUUUUGGAAGACGAUCAAACUUGGUCAUUUAGAGGAAGUAAAAGUCGUAACA
Molecule: ribosomal RNA, 329 nt
Filed under: uncultured eukaryote
Lineage: Eukaryota
Description: partial 18S ribosomal RNA
Rfam family: Eukaryotic small subunit ribosomal RNA
Source: RNAcentral